AAUUCUUAAUCUCGAUAUUGUUGUCCUCAGGUCACGAGCUCACUUUGCUUGGAACCCUAAUUUUUCUUUUCUUUUUUUUUUGGGGUUUGUGAUUUGCUGUUGCUGCGGAGAAUUCUGGCAACGUCUCUGUUCUCAGAGAUUCCCAUUGGUAACAUCUUCAUCAUAGCAAAGCUGAUUUCUUUUAGGGUUUCUUAUUCGUUUUCCAUACCUUACGUUUGCGUUAGGGUUCAUCCUCAUUGCCCCUCCUUGGGUUAGCUUUCGAAUUACCAGUGUAUGGUUCUGUUUUGGUUGACAACUGCGGUUGAUAUUUUCUUUCUGGUUCAAGAGAAGGUGUGAGAAAGUUUUAGAAUUCUGCGUUGCUUCGAGAAUUUGGUUCGAUAGUGGAGUCCUUCGUAUCUGAGAAAUCGGAAGGGGACAAGAUGGAUGGGAAGGUGAAGAAAACGGGUUCCAAGAGAGGAUCUGUGGUGGUUCAGUUCGGUGAUGAGGCUGAUGAUGAUGAACCUAUUGGAUCGCUGUUCAGGUUGAUGAAGCAUAAGAAUUCAAAGAGGAAUAGGGUGGAGACAGAAACCAGUGAUAAUAAAGGGCUGGGAGAAGUAAUGGAGAAGAAAUCGAUCUCAGCAGUGGGGGAUUCUGAAGAUAUGGAUGAUACUUUAGCUAUUUUCAGGAAGCGAUUGAAGGGUCUCAAGAAAGGAAUCAUGAAGGUUAAGAGUUCGGUAUCGAGUGCUCCCAAGGAAGUCGAUUCAGAUUCUACUCUGAAAUCACUCUCAGAGACGAAUGAGGAAGGUCAGGAUAUGGCUGGUGGUGGAACUGAUGUUGAAAUGGACACUGAUGGGAGGAAUAAGCCCAGGAAAAAUGUAAAGAAAGCCAAGACUCAAUCAAAACCAGAGGCUGAGUUGAUGUGUUCAAAAUCUCAGGCUGCUCCAUCAGGGAGAAAGACCGAGCAAGUGUUCACCGAGAAGCAAAUAGAUGUAGCUGAUGGAUCUUCAGGUGAUGAAUCCAAGAGAGCAUCAUCAGACGAUGUGCUUCAUGCUGAUGCUAGAAAAGAAGUUGCAGUUGUUAGUCCUAGGGACAAUGAUCGGGAGGUUCAUGGAGAGGAGCCAGCUACGGUUUCAGCUUAUUCUCGGAAGGAAAAUGCCAUUAUGUGCGAUUGUGGCAUUCAAGUCAACUUUGAAGGUAGAUCCUUAGAACCUAAGGGACAGGGUGCUAUGUGUCAAAAUUGCUGGUAUUCUCUGUGUCAAGAUGCUUCCAAAGGAAGUGGUGCUCAACUUCAUGAUGACCUUCCUGUGAAAGAUGAAACUUCUCAAGCUUUACCUCUUUCUGUAGCUCCCAAUGAAUCUGAAAGUUUCCAUGGUGAUGCGGUUUCAUUGCCUGAUUCCGGGCUAAAGGAGGACAAGGCAUCUAAUGUGCUUCGCCCCGAGCGCGUUGCUCGAAAGCGUAGGCUUGGGGACAUGGCUUAUGAAGGAGACAUUGAUUGGGAGAUUCUGACCAAUGAGCAAGGCUUUCUUGAUAGUCAAAGCGAUAAGUCCUUUAAAGGGAGCGAUAAGUUUGGUUCCUCACAAAAUGUUUCCAAGGAAACUGACAUUGGCAUAGCAGCUGCAGUAACAGCUGGACUUAAAGCCAGAUCUGUAAGUCCAAUUGAGAAGAUUAUAUUUAAGGAAGUGUUGAAGCGCAAAUCUGGUCUCCAAGAGUACCUUAAUCGCAGGAAUUUCAUCUUAGGUCUGUGGAGCAAAAAUGUUAGCCGCAUCUUGCCUGUCACUAUGUGUGGUGUUGCUGGUGACCCUUCCGAGAGCGAAUCUCCUUCUGCUUCCCUAAUCAGAGAGGUCUACAAGUUUCUUGAUCAAAGAGGUUACAUAAAUGCUGGAAUUGCAUCCAUGAGGGGCAAUCGGGGAUCUUCCACAAAUCAUGAUUAUGAUCUCUUCCAUAAGAAAAAACUUGAGGAUAGUUCUAUAGCUUCAGUUACUGAUUCAGAGGAUGGAGUUGCUUUUAUCCUUGGUGAGGUUAAAGCUACUGAAUCGACUAUUGAUGGUAAGAGAGGUGUUCUCUAUGAUGAUGAAAAUCAAGGGAUAGGAUGUUCAAAAAGCAUGGGGGUUGUCCCUGCACCAAAUGUGGAUCCUUCCAACAAAACAGAGUGUAAAGCAAUCCCAGCUGAUGAUUUCAGAGAGCAUGUCAAUGUAGAUACUGCGCAAAUUGAUGCAUCUGCCAUGUUAAAGGCUGAAAGGUUGCCUGAAUUGACAUCAGUAGUGAAGCCUGAUUUUGUAAGUACCCUGCCUGCGAUGAAAAAUGAUCAAGUGGAUGGAAAGGACGGUUUUCCAUGUGAUAUGAAAGAUGAGAAGAAAGUAUUAGUCAUUGGAGCUGGUCCUGCAGGAUUAACUGCUGCACGCCAUUUGCAGCGUCAGGGUUUUUCUGUCACAGUUCUUGAGGCAAGGAAUAGGGUAGGUGGUCGUGUAUAUACAGACCAGUCAUCUCUUUCAGUUCCUGUUGAUCUUGGGGCUAGCAUAAUUACAGGCAUUGAGGCUGAUGUGGCAUCUGAAAGAAUGCCAGACCCUUCAGCACUCAUCUGUACCCAAUUAGGUCUAGAGUUGAGUGUAUUGCAUGGAUUUUGUCCUUUAUAUGAUAUUGUAACUGGGCAAAAGGUUCCUCCAGACUUAGAUGAUGUUCUCCAAGCAGAAUUCAACAGUGUAAUUGAUGAUGUUGAUUUGCUUGUUGAGGAAAUAGGUAAGGAAAUAGCAAAUAAAAUUUCCCUUGAGGAUGGUUUAGAAUAUGGCCUUCGAAGGCUUAGGCUGCCGGAUGACAAAGUGGACAUUGAAAGCUUAGGGCUUGGCAAUUCAGCCGUUGCUUCUCAUCUGGAAGCUGGCAAUAUUAAUGGAAGCCCUGUCCAGAAUGGAAAUAUGGAAGAUGAUAUUUUGAGUCCUCUGGAGAGAAGAGUUAUGAAUUGGCACUUUGCUCAUGCAGAAUAUGGUUGUGCUGCUGCUCUCAAGGAAGUGUCGCUUCCUAACUGGAAUCAAGAUGAACUUUAUGGAGGAUUCGGAGGACCUCAUGCUAUGAUCAAGGGUGGUUACAGCAGAGUUGUUGAGUCGCUUGCACAAGGACUUGAUGUUCGCUUGGAAAAUGCAGUUACUGAGGUUUCAUAUAGCUCGAAUGCCUCACCCACAGUUGAUAAGAAGCAUAAAGUUAGAGUUUUGACUUCAAAUGGCAGUGAAUUUCUUGGAGAUGCUGUUCUCGUCACCGUCCCUCUUGGAUGUUUGAAAGCAGAAACCAUUAAGUUCUCCCCAUCCUUGCCAGACUGGAAAUAUUCUUCGGUCAAGCGGCUUGGGUUUGGAGUUCUGAACAAAGUAAUUUUGGAGUUUCCGGAUGUAUUUUGGGAUGAUAGCGUGGAUUACUUUGGGGCAACUGCUGAGGAAACGGACCAGAGAGGUGAAUGUUUUAUGUUUUGGAAUGUCAAGAAAUCUGUGGGGGCUCCUGUUCUUAUAGCUUUGGUGGUUGGGAAGGCUGCUAUUGAGUUUCAAAAGAAGAGCAAGUCUGAGCAUGUGAACCAUGCAAUGAUGGUUCUUCGUAAGCUUUUUGGUGGGGAUUUGGUGCCUGAUCCUGUUGCGUCAGUGGUGACUGAUUGGGGCACUGAUCCUUACAGUUAUGGCGCCUACUCAUAUGUUGCCAUUGGUGCUUCUGGUGAAGAUUAUGAUAUUCUGAGCAGGCCUGUUCAAAACUGUUUGUUUUUUGCUGGUGAAGCAACAUGCAAAGAGCAUCCCGAUACCGUUGGUGGUGCAAUGAUGACUGGCCUCCGUGAAGCUGUGCGCAUAAUUGAUAUAUUUAGAAGUGGAAAUGAUUAUACAGCUGAAGUAGAGGCAUUGGAAACAACACAGAGGAAAUCUAUAUCUGUAAAGGAUGAGGUCAAAGACCUGAUGAAGAGGCUUGAAGUGGUUGAGCUAUCUAAUGUCUUGGCUAGGCAAUCAUUGCUACGGAACAUGUUCUUCUCUGCUAAAACAACUGUUGGACGUCUGCAUUUAGCGAAAGAGUUGUUGAACUUGCCUGUUGAGACUUUAAAAUCCUUUGCGGGUACAAAAGAAGGGCUUGCAGUUCUGAACUCUUGGAUACUGGAUUCAAUGGGGAAGAAUGGAACCCAGCUCUUGCGUCACUGUGUCCAUAUUCUUGUUCGAGUUUCAAGUGAUCUACUUGCCGUGCGUCUGUCAGGCGUUGGGAAGACUGUGAAAGAAAAAGUUUGUGCGCACACAAGCCGUGACAUCCGUGCCAUAGCAAGCCAGCUCGUUAAUGUGUGGCUUGAACUAUUCCGAAAAGAUAAAGCUAAUGGAAGACUGAAGCCAUCAAGGCAAACAAAUACUGCAACUCUCUCAAGAAGGAAAGGAAGACUGAAUAGUGGGGAUUUGGAAAGUAAGCCAAAGGCGAGCAAUGGCAAGGAAAUGAAAAUGGAUGGAGAGCUUGAGGACAACCAGCUACCGUUGACAGAGGAAGAACAGGCUGCAAUUGCCGCUGCAGAGGCUGCUCGUUCAGCGGCAGAAGCGGCUGCAAAGGCAUUUGCUGAGGCCUAUCAUAAUACAUCGUUGCAGCUUCCUAAAAUUCCAUCGUUUCACAAAUUUGCUAGAAGAGAGCAGUAUGCAAAGAUGGAUGAAUCUGAUUUCAGGAAGAAAUUUCCUGGAAGUGUUUUAGGAAGACAAGAUUGUAUGUCGGAGAUAGACUCUAGGAACUGCAAAGUUCGUGACUGGUAUGAUUUCCCUGCAGCUUGUCUUGACAUUGAUAGUUCAAAGGUUCCUGUGGAUAACCAAUCACAGAGGAGCCAUUCAAACGAGCUUGUGUCCAAUCCAAAGUUCACAGAAUGUUCUGGAGAAAGUGUGGCUGCAGAUAGCAGUAUCUUUACCAGGGCAUGGGUUGAUACUGGUGGUAGUAGUGAGGGCUUCAAGGAUUGUCAAGCUAUAGAUAGAUGGCAGUCUCAAGCAGCUGCCGUGAAUCCUUAUUUUUUCAAUCGUGCUUUGCAUAUCAAGGAUGAAGAAGAUUCCAAUGCAUGCUCAAGACAGCCCCCUAGCCAGGAGCAUGAAAAACGGGCAAAUGAAAGUUCACUGUCUCAGGUUACGGUGAAUAAGGAGCCUCAUAAAACUCAUCCUCGAGGUGCAGAUCGUUUGAAACAGGCAGUUGUGGACUUUGUUGCAUCAUUGCUUAUGCCUCUGUAUAAAGCAAGGAAAAUUGAUAGAGAUGGCUACAAAUCAAUUAUGAAGAAAACGGCGACAAAGGUAAUGGAACACACCACGGACGUGGAGAAAACAAUGUCUGUUUCACAAUUUCUCGACUCCAAGCGCAAAUAUAAGAUUCGUGAUUUUGUAGACAAGCUAAUCGAGAAGCACAUGGCAGCAACUCAAGCUCCAAAACCUUGACCGGCCCAGGGGUAUACAAAAUGUGGUUUUGGAAUAACUUGGGUUGGAGCAGUUCGGUCGGUUUAUUGUAGCAAGAAUCGUGGCCAAUGGUAGUGGAGCAGUUGGAAUUCGGCUGGUUGGGCAUAUCUCUUCUCAGAACCACAGCAUCUCUCUCUCUUUUUCUUUUCCCGGAUGCGGCUAUCGGCUAAGUGGAUGGUAGGAUGUAGAUAGUUUCCUGGUGAUAUCAUGCCAUUAGACAUGUGGCUUUAUCAGGUUCUGGUACCAGACAUGUCGGAAAAUUGUUGACCUAGCUCUGAUGUGCAAGUGCAAGUGCAAGGUAUGAGUGAUAUCAUAUUCACUCGUCUCCUGUGUAGAACCAAGCUUCCAUAUGAUCUGAAGGCUUCUCAGUGCAUGUUCUUGUCAAGAGGAUGUGAAACCAGCCCCCAUCCUCUUCUUCAUCAUUCAGUUCUCUCAUCAGAUGAUGAUGAUUCAUGUUCUUGACUUCUGCUCGUUGAUUCUAGUAUUGUAUAGAGCUCAGGAUAAUUCAGUUUUAACCGCCAUACCAAAACAUUCUUGAGAAAAAGGAUGGCUUAUGGCUUAUGUCCUGACUUCCCUUUAGUAGCAAACAUGUGGUAAGUCUCUUUGUACAGAGAUACAGCACUUGCAGGUGUGAUGAAGAUCCUAAAGUUUCUCGUAGAAUUCCUCCAUGGAUGAAGAAGAAGCUCUCAGCUCUGGCAUUUUCGACUUUGCAGCAAGCUUCCGUACCUGCUGCUCUCAUCCAAGGAACGGGUUUCUCAAGAUGUGAAGGACCGAAGGGUAUUAGGCCGUCUUCUAGCUUGAGGGCGUAUCGUUGCUGGGAAAUAGCCGACUGCGAAAUCCGACAUCCAGUUAUCUAAAUUCACCUGUCUCUCUUCAAUCUAACUGCUGAUUGUACAUUUCCAGUCAUUUCAGUGAGAAGAAGCGGUGUUGGCGUCUUUUGGUUUGAAAAGAGACCUUUGCUGAUCCGUAGCUUUGUCUUUGUUUCAGGCACAUUCUUCUUCAAGAGUUCAGGAUGUUUCAGGUACACAAACAUAUUAAUGAAUGCAGAAUGGUAUAAUAUAUAUAUAUACACACACACACUUCGAAUUCGGUACGAACUAUUAUCGACAUUUUAACAGAUUAUUCGUUUGGAUUCA
Molecule: RNA transcript, 6535 nt
Organism: Tarenaya hassleriana
Lineage: Eukaryota; Viridiplantae; Streptophyta; Magnoliopsida; Brassicales; Cleomaceae
Gene name: lysine-specific histone demethylase 1 homolog 3
Exons: 11
Source: RefSeq, a predicted model, not a curated record